AACGAACGCUGGCGGCAUGCCUAACACAUGCAAGUCGAACGAGACCUUCGGGUCUAGUGGCGCACGGGCGCGUAACGCGUGGGAACCUGCCCUUAGGUUCGGAAUAACUCCCCGAAAGGGGUGCUAAUACCGGAUAAUGUCUUCGGACCAAAGAUUUAUCGCCUUUGGAUGGGCCCGCGUUGGAUUAGCUAGUUGGUAGGGUAAAAGCCUACCAAGGCGACGAUCCAUAGCUGGUCUGAGAGGAUGAUCAGCCACACUGGGACUGAGACACGGCCCAGACUCCUACGGGAGGCAGCAGUGGGGAAUAUUGGACAAUGGGCGAAAGCCUGAUCCAGCAAUGCCGCGUGAGUGAUGAAGGCCUUAGGGUUGUAAAGCUCUUUUACCCGGGAUGAUAAUGACAGUACCGGGAGAAUAAGCUCCGGCUAACUCAGUG
Molecule: ribosomal RNA, 433 nt
Filed under: uncultured bacterium
Lineage: Bacteria
Description: partial 16S ribosomal RNA
Rfam family: Bacterial small subunit ribosomal RNA
Source: RNAcentral